This 97-nucleotide signal recognition particle RNA is filed under the name Pseudomonadales bacterium. RNAcentral describes it as "signal recognition particle sRNA small type". It matches the Rfam family "Bacterial small signal recognition particle RNA". From Rfam's summary of the family: The signal recognition particle (SRP) is a universally conserved ribonucleoprotein involved in the co-translational targeting of proteins to membranes. Archaeal SRP consists of a 7S RNA and homologues of the eukaryotic SRP19 and SRP54 proteins. RNAcentral also lists the same sequence under 1 other name. Lineage: Bacteria; Pseudomonadati; Pseudomonadota; Gammaproteobacteria; Pseudomonadales. The record is from RNAcentral.
UGUCGGUCCCCUCGCAAUGACAGGUUGCAAACCCCGCCAGGCCCGGAAGGGAGCAACGGUAGCAGCUGACUCAUGUGCCGGGGUGUGGCUGGCAAGA